AACUUUUGACAAUGGAUCUCUUGGCUCUCGCAUCGAUGAAGAACGCAGCGAAAUGCUAUAAGUAAUGUGAAUUGCAGAAUUCAGUGAAUCAUCGAAUCUUUGAACGCACCUUGCGCCCCUCGGUUAUUCCUUGGGGCAUGCCUUUUUGAGUAUCAUGAACACCUUAACUCUCACGGUCUUCCGUGACGAGCUUUGACUUUGGGGGUUUGCUGGCCCUGCGGCCGGCUCCUCUCAAACAAACCAGCUUGCCCGUGUUUGGCGGCAUCUCACGUGUGUGAUAACUAUCUACGCUCGCGGUUGUCUGCCAGGUAACACUCAGCAAUGAAGGUUCAUUGGGGCUCAUAAACGUCUCUCCCCGGCGAGGACAGCUUUUGAACGUUCGAUCUCAAAUCAGGUAGGACUACCCGCUGAACUUAAGCAUAUCAAUAAGCGGAGGCU
Molecule: unclassified non-coding RNA, 438 nt
Filed under: uncultured Tomentella
Lineage: Eukaryota; Fungi; Basidiomycota; Agaricomycetes; Thelephorales; Thelephoraceae
Description: sequence contains ITS2
Rfam family: 5.8S ribosomal RNA (bases 1-155)
Source: RNAcentral